AGUGAACGCUGGCGGUAUGCCUAACACAUGCAAGUCGAACGGCAACACAGUAAGCGCUUGCUCGUACGGGUGGCGAGUGACGUACGGGUGAGUGAUCCAUCGGAAGCUACUAUUGCGUGGGGGAGCAGGUAGUACAGCAUACGCUAAUAGGGCAUACGAGCUGCGGGUGAAAGCAGGGGAUCUUCGGACCUUGCGCGAUUGAAUUAGCCGAUGUCGGAUUAGAUAGUUGGCGGGGUAAAGGCCCACCAAGUCGACGAUCCGUAGCUGGUCUGAGAGGAUGAUCAGCCACACUGGGACUGAGACACGGUCCAGACUCCUACGGGAGGCAGCAGUGGGGAAUAUUGGACAAUGGGCGCAAGCCUGAUCCAGCCAUACCGCGUGCGUGAAGAAGGCCUUCGGGUUGUAAACCCCUUUUGUUGGGAAAGAAAAGGUGCAGGCUAAUACCUCGCUGUCCUGACGGUACCUAAAGAAUAAGCACCGGCUAACUUCGUG
This 492-nucleotide ribosomal RNA is filed under the name uncultured bacterium. RNAcentral's name for it is "partial 16S ribosomal RNA". It matches the Rfam family "Bacterial small subunit ribosomal RNA", at positions 29 to 507 of the family's 1533-position model. The record is from RNAcentral.